GUCUCUAGUUUAUAGUUUCCUAAAAGAGCGUUAUGCAUACUCUAUCCCAAUAGGACUCUUACUUGCUACGAACAUGUGAUGGAGAAAUCACUUCAAACAGCGACUGGAGGGUCAUAAACUCUCUGUGCUGCUGCAAUAUUAUUGAAAGAAGCGGUUUUCCCUGCUCAUGUCAUCUCCUGUGCACUUUGAUCUGGGUGAAGUGGCCUGCAGUUGUACAGCAAGGACCAACGAGCACUGGAUCCUCUAUCUGUAGUGAGUGG
Molecule: long non-coding RNA, 260 nt
Filed under: Coturnix japonica (Japanese quail)
Lineage: Eukaryota; Metazoa; Chordata; Aves; Galliformes; Phasianidae
Description: lncRNA (ENSCJPG00005003802.1)
Source: RNAcentral